GUAAUACCGCUUAGUACGAGAGGAACCGCGGUUUCAGAUAAUUGGUUUUUGCGGCUGUCCGACCGGGCAUUGCCGCGAAGCUACCAUCUGCUGGAUUAUGGCUGAACGCCUCUAAGUCAGAAUCCAUGCCGGAAAGGGACGAUUCUGCCCCGCGUCGCGAUAGACGAGUACGAAUAGGCUUCGGCCCCGGACCUCAGCAGGUCGGCGACGGGUCGCUCCGGGAAGAGGGGCGGCCUAGCCGGCGUAUUGCAAGAUGGUUGCGCGUGGGGAUAAACACUUUGCAGACGACUUAGUCGCGUCUCCCGGUCGUGUACGUGGACGAGUAGCCUUUGUUGCUACGAGCCACUGAUCGUAAUCCGGCGAGGCCUCUGUUUGU
RNAcentral lists this non-coding RNA (376 nucleotides) under Verruconis gallopava. Its description in RNAcentral is "Ochroconis gallopava Eukaryotic large subunit ribosomal RNA". It matches the Rfam family "Eukaryotic large subunit ribosomal RNA", at positions 3019 to 3401 of the family's 3401-position model. The record is from Rfam by way of RNAcentral. Lineage: Eukaryota; Fungi; Ascomycota; Dothideomycetes; Venturiales; Sympoventuriaceae.